AGUUCAUUCUAUAUAGGGCUUGUUAGGCUGUGAAAUCAGGAGCUCUUAACAGUGUGACCAAAGUUUGGAGUUCUUCAAAGCACCAUGUAGUCACUCAAUAGUGAUGGAUUUUUUUUUUAAAUUUUCGUGAGGAGGAGAUAUAACA
RNAcentral lists this small nucleolar RNA (145 nucleotides) under Jaculus jaculus (lesser Egyptian jerboa). RNAcentral describes it as "Small nucleolar RNA SNORA25 (ENSJJAG00000007200.1)". The record is from RNAcentral. Lineage: Eukaryota; Metazoa; Chordata; Mammalia; Rodentia; Dipodidae.